AGAACAUUUUUAAAAUGUAACAUUUGGAACUAUUACUUGAAUAGUUUGUCCUUAGUUAAGACGACGUUUAUUUUUUACUCUUAUUCUCCUUCAGGAGAAUGCUCUCUUGACAAAAUAAGAUGUCAUCCACUCUGUGUGUGUGUGUGUGUGUGUGUGUGUGUGUAUCAUUAUUCAGCUAGUUAUAAAUUUAUAUAUGAAUUUUCUACUAACUUGUGUGUCCUGUUGUUCCACUUCCAUGAUAUUGACCUUAACCUUUUCACUUUAUUUUUCAGAAAAACCUCAGGGAAAAAAUGGACAUGGCCUAAGGCAAGACCGAUGAUUGACGUAACUUUUAUGGCUGAAGGGAGGCUGUAUUACCUCUUUGUCUGGUAUCAUUUUGACAUUAUUCUUCUUGGAACACAGGCAUGUAUGGAAGUAACACGUUUCCCUCCACUUGGUGAAAAGGACUUUAGGUCUCAUGGUUCCAAUACUCAGAAACGUGCCUCAGUUAGGACCCCACAGAAAACUAUGGCAGUGUUUGAAAACUUUACCUUCCUCCAUUCCUGACAUCUUACUUCUUUGGGGGUGAAUUUUUCAUUUCUUCCUCUGACUUUAUCAGCAAAUGUUAGGCAAAAGGGCAAAUUAUGUGGUCAUUUUUUCUGUGUAAUUUCACAGUUUCAUCUGCUUUGUAUCUUAGUCUUCGGUGCUCGAUCACCAUCUUCUUCAAGGUCAACGUACAUACAUUCUUGUUUAACAUCCGUUUUGUGUAAUUAUAUUUUCAAUCACAUUUUGGUUUACAGAUUGAAUGGAAUUUAGGAACACAUUUUGUCAACGCAUGAAAUAGACUUCAUAGGACUAUGGCAGCAGAUACAGUUUGUGACAGAGGAGUACUUUUCUGUACUUUUCCAUUACAUUUUAGAUGCUUUUCCCAUAUAUGUGAGCAACUUGGUCUUUUAUGGUGAAAGAGCAGGAAGGCCCAAUGCAAGAUCAAUGAUUGUCAUUGCUUAUAUCAGAGGAAGGUCUGCUCUAUGUUCUGUCAUUGUUUCCUUUUCUAUCUUAACUCCUUUUGCACAAAAGUAUGGGAGUAUAAAACAACAUUGCCUUUCAUGGGCUACCUGGCAUUUGCAACCUUUGAUUCCAAUUCUUAGGAAUGUGGUUCAAGUUUAAGGAAAAAGUGAACAAUGGAAGGGUUUCAAAUUAUUGGCCUCUUCUCUUCCGGAUAUUGUGCCUUCAUUUGUAUUUUAAAUGGCUAUUUCUUCUUUUUAUUUUUCAGCUAAGGGUGAACAGAAUAAUGGCAAGUCCCUUUAAUACUUUACACCUUGUAUUUUGUCACAUUUCUUCUGUUUCUAUAUCAUUUGUCUUUGAUGGUCCGUGAUCAUCUUUCUCAACUCCAACCUACACAUAUAAUGUUACAUCAUAAUUUUUUCAUU
RNAcentral lists this long non-coding RNA (1409 nucleotides) under Sus scrofa (pig). RNAcentral describes it as "lncRNA (ENSSSCG00060042868.1)". Lineage: Eukaryota; Metazoa; Chordata; Mammalia; Artiodactyla; Suidae. The record is from RNAcentral.